GAAGGUACAGCUCAGUGGUAGAGUGUGUGCUUAGCAUGCACAAGGUCCUGGGUUCAAUCCCCAGUACCUCCA
RNAcentral lists this transfer RNA (72 nucleotides) under Camelus bactrianus (Bactrian camel). It matches the Rfam family "tRNA". From Rfam's summary of the family: Transfer RNA (tRNA) molecules are approximately 80 nucleotides in length. Their secondary structure includes four short double-helical elements and three loops (D, anti-codon, and T loops). The record is from Rfam by way of RNAcentral. Lineage: Eukaryota; Metazoa; Chordata; Mammalia; Artiodactyla; Camelidae. RNAcentral also lists the same sequence under 2 other names.